This 506-nucleotide ribosomal RNA is filed under the name uncultured bacterium. Its description in RNAcentral is "partial 16S ribosomal RNA". It matches the Rfam family "Bacterial small subunit ribosomal RNA", at positions 30 to 523 of the family's 1533-position model. The record is from RNAcentral.
AUUGAACGCUGGCGGUAUGCUUAACACAUGCAAGUCGAACGGCAGCAUGGUCUAGCUUGCCAGACUGAUGGCGAGUGGCGGACGGGUGAGUAACGCGUAGGAAUAUGCCUUGAAGAGUGGGACAACUUGGGGAAACUCAAGCUAAUACCGCAUGUACUCGAGAGAGUAAAGCUGGGGACCUUUAGGCCUGGCGCUUUAAGAUUAGCCUGCGUCCGAUUAGCUAGUUGGUAGGGUAAAGGACUACCAAGGCGACGAUCGGUAGCUGGUCUGAGAGGAUGAUCAGCCACACUGGAACUGAGAGACGGUCCAGACUCCUACGGGAGGCAGCAGUGGGGAAUAUUGGACAAUGGGGGGAACCCUGAUCCAGCAAUGCCGCGUGUGUGAAGAAGGCCUGAGGGUUGUAAAGCACUUUCAGUGGGGAGGAGGUUUGGAAGGUUAAGAGCUAUUCAAAUGGACGUUACCCACAGAAGAAGCACCGGCUAACUCCGUGCCAGCAGCCGCGGUAA